This 543-nucleotide ribosomal RNA is filed under the name Corynebacterium simulans. RNAcentral describes it as "bacterial SSU rRNA". It matches the Rfam family "Bacterial small subunit ribosomal RNA", at positions 533 to 1075 of the family's 1533-position model. The record is from RNAcentral. Lineage: Bacteria; Bacillati; Actinomycetota; Actinomycetes; Mycobacteriales; Corynebacteriaceae.
UGCGAGCGUUGUCCGGAAUUACUGGGCGUAAAGAGCUCGUAGGUGGUUUGUCGCGUCGUCUGUGAAAUUCCGGGGCUUAACUCCGGGCGUGCAGGCGAUACGGGCUGACUUGAGUGCUGUAGGGGAGACUGGAAUUCCUGGUGUAGCGGUGAAAUGCGCAGAUAUCAGGAGGAACACCGAUGGCGAAGGCAGGUCUCUGGGCAGUAACUGACGCUGAGGAGCGAAAGCAUGGGUAGCGAACAGGAUUAGAUACCCUGGUAGUCCAUGCCGUAAACGGUGGGCGCUAGGUGUAGGGGGCUUCCACGUCUUCUGUGCCGUAGCUAACGCAUUAAGCGCCCCGCCUGGGGAGUACGGCCGCAAGGCUAAAACUCAAAGGAAUUGACGGGGGCCCGCACAAGCGGCGGAGCAUGUGGAUUAAUUCGAUGCAACGCGAAGAACCUUACCUGGGCUUGACAUAUAGCGGAUCGCUGCAGAGAUGUAGUUUCCCUUUGUGGUCGUUAUACAGGUGGUGCAUGGUUGUCGUCAGCUCGUGUCGUGAGAUGU